RNAcentral lists this ribosomal RNA (253 nucleotides) under uncultured bacterium. RNAcentral describes it as "partial 16S ribosomal RNA". It matches the Rfam family "Bacterial small subunit ribosomal RNA", at positions 524 to 776 of the family's 1533-position model. The record is from RNAcentral.
UACGGGGGGGGCAAGCGUUGUUCGGAAUUACUGGGCGUAAAGGGCGCGUAGGCGGGUGGACAAGUCUCUCGUGAAAGCCCACGGCUCAACCGUGGAAUUGAGGGAGAUACUGUCUGUCUUGAGUCCGGGAGAGGAGGGUGGAAUUCCCAGUGUAGCGGUGAAAUGCGUAGAUAUUGGGAGGAACACCGGUGGCGAAGGCGGCUCUCUGGACCGGUACUGACGCUGAGGCGCGAAAGCUAGGGGAGCAAACGGG